RNAcentral lists this ribosomal RNA (502 nucleotides) under uncultured Eubacteriales bacterium. RNAcentral's name for it is "bacterial SSU rRNA". It matches the Rfam family "Bacterial small subunit ribosomal RNA", at positions 30 to 524 of the family's 1533-position model. The record is from RNAcentral. Lineage: Bacteria; Bacillati; Bacillota; Clostridia; Eubacteriales.
UGAACGCUGGCGGCGUGCCUAACACAUGCAAGUCGAACGGAGAUUAUUCGCUGCGGAGCCUUCGGGCGAAGCUUGAAAUGAUCUUAGUGGGCGGGACGGGGUGAGUAACGCGUGGGCAACCUGCCUUGCACAGGGGGAUAGCAGUUGGAAACGACUGGUAAUACCGCAUAUCUUAGAGAGACCGCAUGAUCUUUUUAAGAAAACGUUAGUGGUGCAAGAUGGGCCCGCGUCCGAUUAGAUAGUUGGUGGGGUAACGGCCUACCCAAGUCGACGAUCGGUAGCCGACCUAAGAGGGCGGACGGCCACAUUGGGACUGAGACACGGCCCAGACUCCUACGGGAGGCAGCAGUGGGGGAAUAUUGCACAAUGGAGGGAACUCUGAUGCAGCGACGCCGCGUGAGUGAAGAAGUAUUUCGGUAUGUAAAGCUCUAUCAGUAGGGAAGAUAAUGACGGUACCUACAUAAGAAGCCCCGGCUAAAUACGUGCCAGCAGCCGCGGUAAU